AAUUAGGUUGUGAAAAGGGGGAACUAAAGACAGAUACUGACUAUCAGCUCUGGCCUCUACAGAUAUUUUUACAUUUCUCGCAACCAGUAAUGACAGACAAUAUUUAGAUAUUGUGAUCUGUAAAUGUGCUCACAAGUAUCAGAGAACAAGAUCUCAACCGAACAGUGAGACCUAUAGUGAGACAGGGAGAUGGCUGGUACACAGUAGCGAGUGAUUCAGAGGAGUGCGGUGAUGAUUGGCUGUUCCUGAGAGGUCCUGAAAGGUCUUGCAGCUUUUUCUAGAAGACCUGCAAGAAGGAGAAAGAAGGCCAACAUUACUGUGGAGAAAACAGUGACUUAACAGUCAAAUACCGUCCCAAGUUCCUGAAUGGCUCUGGGUGUGUGGUCCAGGCAGAGGUCCUGACCUGUGUGUGUGUCAGUCAGGGGGUUCCCUUGCCAGUGAUUGCUUGGCUAAUAUUAGGGGUCUAUAUUAGUUACAGUGUCAUCGUCUCCAGGAGUGCCCAAACCAUGAACAGCACCAUCACCAUGUCUGCCUCAGAAUACAAGAACAGUAGCGUGGAGUGUGUCAGCAGAAAUGUAGUUGGCCAGACCGAGAUGGAGUUCCCCAUACUACACCAAGCUGAAGGGAGCCUGACACUUUGUCUUGUUUGUCAAGUCAACCAGGGUUUUUGUCUCAGCUCCUGCUGACCCUUGCCUGUCCUGACUCUGAGCCCACCUGCCUGACCACUCUGCCUGCCCCCCUGUACCUUUGCCUCUACUCUGGAUUACCGACCUCUGCCUGCCUUGACCUGUCAUUUGCCUGCCCCUGUUGCUGUAAUAAACAUUGUUACUUCAACACAGUCUGCAUGUGGGUCUUACCUGAAAGCAUGUCAGUACGAACUGGCCAUGACUGACCCAGCAGACUUGGACCAGCUCUGCAACGCCAUCUCCUUCAAAGGAGCUACCACUGGAGGCACGAGGAGUUGAUUCGCGGUCUGAUGGAAGUGUUCCAGGCUGUGGUCGAACAUCAUGACCUAGCAUUGGAUGCAUUGCGGGAGCAAUUCCGUGGGUUGCCUACUAGGCAGCCUACCAUGAUGAUAACCUCCCAGCCCCAGCUGGUAGCAGCGCCGUCACCCCGGUUUCCUGGGAUCCCUGCUUACCUCCCCUGGAGUGCUACGAUGGAGAUUCCAGAACCUGCUGGGCCUUUCUCUCCCAGUGCUCCCUCGUUUUCAAGCUGCAGCCUUCUUCAUUCCCCUCGGACCGCACGAGGAUAGCGUAUAUCAUUAUUCUGAUGUCCGGGAUGGCACUCGCCUGGGCCACGGCGGUGUGGGAGCAACAAUCUGUCGUCUGCCUCAGUCUGAAGGGAUUCAUGGCGGACGUGAAACAGGUUUUCGAGGCCCUGACCCUGACUGCUGUCCUGUACAUUUGCCACUACUCUGGAUUACCGACCUCUGCCUGACCUGACCCUGAGCCUGCCUGCCAUCCUGUACCUUCGUCCCACUACUCUGGAUUACCGACCUCUGCCUGACCUGACCCUGAGCCUGCCUGCUGUCCUGUACCUUC
This is a long non-coding RNA of Salmo salar (Atlantic salmon), 1541 nucleotides long. RefSeq lists it as uncharacterized. The record is from RefSeq and is a predicted model, not a curated record. Lineage: Eukaryota; Metazoa; Chordata; Actinopteri; Salmoniformes; Salmonidae.